CAGGCUGCGUACAUCGAGGUGUGCUUAGCUGAUGAAUGCUAAUUGUCAAUGAGUUCACAACGCCAGUGUAAAAUACCUUACGCAAAUGUAAGAAUUCUCAGUGCAAGCAACACAUCAGAUUUAUCAACAGUUUGCAGUGCGGGUGUAAAAUACCUUAUGUUAAUGACAGAAUUCUUGGUGCACAUAAGACCACACCAACGUUUAUAGAACACAGAUGGGCUGUGGUUUUUCAGAUAUAUGUGAAAUCGUAAUUGUCCAGCCAUAUUAGAAACUGCAAGAUGGAGCAAUCCCUGAAAGUAAAAAAUAAAUGCUUUUCAUAUGAAUUCUGAAACACCCAAGCAUGGUCACCAACUUUUCGGUGCUGGAACAUCUGGCGUCCAUUGGUAGCAUGCUUCUUAAGGAAAAAAGAAAGAUUCCUACAAGAUCUUAGGAGAGAAGAGAUUUUUAGGUAAACAAGAAGGGCAUAUACUGAGCUCCAUCAGGAGGAGACCACCACAAACACUGCAACCUAUAAACUCAUCAGUUGGGAAUAGAAGGAUUGGAUGCAAGUUCCUGUCAAAACCAAAACGAAAUCCACGGAUUAAUGCUCAUGUAUCAUAUUGACUACCACAAGCAUACGGAUGGUGUGAAAAUGCAUUACCAGCAACCUAGAAUUGGUAUCAUUCAUCACAAUGAUCCUUUGAAUAAAUGUGUGAGAGCAAACACACCAUCAUCCGUAU
This 719-nucleotide long non-coding RNA is filed under the name Triticum aestivum (bread wheat). RNAcentral's name for it is "long non-coding RNA (TAES_LNC019102)". Lineage: Eukaryota; Viridiplantae; Streptophyta; Magnoliopsida; Poales; Poaceae. The record is from RNAcentral.